Molecule: ribosomal RNA, 776 nt
Filed under: uncultured Neocallimastigales
Lineage: Eukaryota; Fungi; Neocallimastigomycota; Neocallimastigomycetes; Neocallimastigales
Description: partial large subunit ribosomal RNA
Rfam family: Eukaryotic large subunit ribosomal RNA
Source: RNAcentral
UCAGACGAUGCGUCAUGCAUAUCAAUAAGCGGAGGAAAAGAAACUAACAAGGAUUCCCUUAGUAACGGCGAGUGAAGCGGGAAGAGCUCAAAUUUGAAAUCUUCAAGGUUUUACCUUGACGAAUUGUAGUUUAAAGAAGUGUUUUCUGUUGAAGUUUUGGUAAAAGUUCUUUGGAAUAGGACAUCAUAGAGGGUGAGAAUCCCGUAUUUGACCGAUUAUUUUCUAGCUUUGUGAUACACUUUCAAAGAGUCGGAUUGUUUGGGAAUGCAGUCCAAAAUGGGUGGUAAAUUUCAUCUAAAGCUAAAUAUUGGCGAGAGACCGAUAGCGAACAAGUACCGUGAGGGAAAGAUGAAAAGAACUUUGAAAAGAGAGUUAAACAGUACGUGAAAUUGUCAAAAGGGAAGCGUUUGACACCAGUGUUGUUUUCUCGAAAAUCAAUUAAAAAGAGUUAGAUUUUGUUGUGUAUUGACCUUAACAGCUUGCAUUUCAAUUUUCUUGCUUUUUUUAAUGCACUUUUCGUUUAACAAGUCAACAUCAGUUUCUUUUGUUGUAAAAAGGUCAUUGGAAGGUGGCUUUCUUUUCGGAGAAAGUGUUUAUAGCCUUUGACUCCUGCAAUCGGAGAGACUGAGGUCUGCAGCGUAGAUCCUUCGGGGUUAGAUACAUUUGUGCUAAGUUAUAGCUUUUUAUAGACAACUUGUUGACUAUGAUUAGUCUUGUAGCUUACUCGCUUAUGCUAUUUUACCUACGCUUAGGAUGUUGAGUCGUAGAGCACGCAG